UACGUAGGGUGCAAGCGUUGUCCGGAAUUACUGGGCGUAAAGAGUUCGUAGGCGGUUUGUCACGUCGUUUUGUGAAAACUCACAGCUCAACUGUGAGCCUGCAGGCGAUACGGGCAGACUUGAGUACUGCAGGGGAGACUGGAAUUCCUGGUGUAGCGGUGAAAUGCGCGGAUAUCAGGAGGAACACCGGUGGCGAAGGCGGGUCUCUGGGCAGUAACUGACGCUGAGGAACGAAAGCAUGGGGAGCGAAACAGG
RNAcentral lists this ribosomal RNA (255 nucleotides) under uncultured bacterium. Its description in RNAcentral is "partial 16S ribosomal RNA". It matches the Rfam family "Bacterial small subunit ribosomal RNA", at positions 524 to 776 of the family's 1533-position model. The record is from RNAcentral.